GGAGGCGGGGGGGGAGGAGUUUGCCCCGGGGACUGCCCGGGACGGGCUCGGCCCCUGCCCGGCGGGGGAACCCCAUGGAGCUCCGGGCCCCCCCACCGCGGUGGCCGGCAGUGCAGGGCUGGGAGCAGUGUGUCCCUGCCCUUGUCCUCUGCACUGCUCCGGUUUGGAUGGAGGAGCAGAGUUCUGGGGAGCACUGCCUGAGCCCCGCGGGAGCCCCAGAAGCAGCUGCUCCGAGAGCUCCUGGACCCGACAAGCAGAACCCAGGCCCCCAGGACCCCUGGCUCUGGCGCCCAGGACACAGCACCGUGCGCCAAGGCCCGUCCAGCCCACCGGUGCCAGCCUUUCCUGGCCUUCAGGUCCCCAGCUCCUCCCACCCUCCGGACACCCCAGGGAGCACGGACAGGUCUUCCCAGCACGGCAGGUGCAGAAGGCAGGUGGUUCCGGAGGCAGCUCUGCCUUAG
RNAcentral lists this long non-coding RNA (461 nucleotides) under Canis lupus dingo (dingo). RNAcentral describes it as "lncRNA (ENSCAFG00020016553.1)". The record is from RNAcentral. Lineage: Eukaryota; Metazoa; Chordata; Mammalia; Carnivora; Canidae.